This 77-nucleotide transfer RNA is filed under the name Oscillatoriales cyanobacterium. RNAcentral describes it as "tRNA-Leu". It matches the Rfam family "tRNA". From Rfam's summary of the family: Transfer RNA (tRNA) molecules are approximately 80 nucleotides in length. RNAcentral also lists the same sequence under 33 other names. The record is from RNAcentral. Lineage: Bacteria; Bacillati; Cyanobacteriota; Cyanophyceae; Oscillatoriales.
ACUCCUGUAGCCCAAUUGGAAGAGGCGGCAAUUUCAAAAAUUGUCAAGUGUGAGUUCAAAUCUCACUAGGAGUACCA